GACGAACGCUGGCGGCGUGCCUAAUACAUGCAAGUCGAGCGGACGUUUUUGAAGCUUGCUUCAAAAACGUUAGCGGCGGACGGGUGAGUAACACGUGGGCAACCUACCUUAUCGACUGGGAUAACUCCGGGAAACCGGGGCUAAUACCGGAUAAUAUCUAGCACCUCCUGGUGCCGGAUUAAAAGAGGGCUUCUUGCUCUCACGAUGAGAUGGGCCCGCGGCGCAUUAGCUAGUUGGAGAGGUAACGGCUCCCCAAGGCGACGAUGCGUAGCCGACCUGAGAGGGUGAUCGGCCACGCUGGGACUGAGACACGGCCCAGACUCCUACGGGAGGCAGCAGUAGGGAAUCUUCCGCAAUGGACGAAAGUCUGACGGAGCAACGCCGCGUGAGUGAUGAAGGGUUUCGGCUCGUAAAGCUCUGUUAUGAGGGAAGAACACGUACCGUUCGAAUAGGGCGGUACCUUGACGGUACCUCAUCAGAAAGCCACGGCUAACUACGUGCCAGCAGCCGCCGUAA
RNAcentral lists this ribosomal RNA (516 nucleotides) under uncultured bacterium. Its description in RNAcentral is "partial 16S ribosomal RNA". It matches the Rfam family "Bacterial small subunit ribosomal RNA", at positions 28 to 523 of the family's 1533-position model. The record is from RNAcentral.